Non-coding RNA from Rattus norvegicus (Norway rat), 435 nucleotides. Lineage: Eukaryota; Metazoa; Chordata; Mammalia; Rodentia; Muridae. The record is from RefSeq and is a predicted model, not a curated record.
AGGACACAAGAGGUGAUAGUUUCCAUCUGGCUCUUUCCUCCGGGGACAUGAAGUUCUGGAUAUUAGCCAGCAUAUUUCAAAGAACUGAAUUUCCUGGCAGAAGUUAGAAUAUUCUAAAACACUUUUGCUUCUUCCUUUAACUGACUAUUGAGAUUAGUUGUGCCCCCCCAACCAAAAUAAGAAUUUUGAGUUAUUGAGAUGUCCCAGUAAGUAAAGAUGUUUGUCACACAAGCCUGAUCUUAGAGUCCAUCCAUGUAAAGACAAACCCUAACCUAACUCCCUUCUGAGCUUUGGACCUUCUUCGGAGUGAUUAUCAUGAUGUCCACUCUCAUAUUGCUACUCCAGCAGUCUUACCUGCCACCUGCUGCCGUGGGGCCCCUGCUCUUGUGGAUUCUAAUGCUCUGGAACCGUUAGUCCAAAUAAAUUCUUUCUUCC